RNAcentral lists this ribosomal RNA (253 nucleotides) under uncultured bacterium. RNAcentral describes it as "partial 16S ribosomal RNA". It matches the Rfam family "Bacterial small subunit ribosomal RNA", at positions 524 to 776 of the family's 1533-position model. The record is from RNAcentral.
UACGUAGGGUGCAAGCGUUGUCCGGAAUUAUUGGGCGUAAAGAGCUCGUAGGCGGUUUGUUGCGUCGGCUGUGAAAUCCCGAGGCUCAACCUCGGGUCUGCAGUCGAUACGAGCAAACUAGAGUGUUGCAGGGGAGACUGGAAUUCCUGGUGUAGCGGUGAAAUGCGCAGAUAUCAGGAGGGACACCGGUGGCGAAGGCGGUUCUCUGGGAAUAUUCUGACGCUGAGGAGCGAAAGUGUGGGGAGCGAACAGG